This 254-nucleotide ribosomal RNA is filed under the name uncultured bacterium. Its description in RNAcentral is "partial 16S ribosomal RNA". It matches the Rfam family "Bacterial small subunit ribosomal RNA", at positions 524 to 776 of the family's 1533-position model. The record is from RNAcentral.
UACAGAGACCCCAAGCGUUAUCCGGAAUUAUUGGGCGUAAAGGGUGAGUAGGUUGUUUUAUUAGUCAGAUGUUAAAGAUCUGGGGCUUAACCUCGGAUGUGCAUUUGAAACGGUAAAACUAGAAUAUGUAAGAGGUGAGUGGAACUCUAUGUGUAGGGGUAAAAUCCGUUGAUAUAUAGGGGAACACCAAAAGCGAAGGCAGCUCACUGGUGCAUUAUUGACACUGAAUCACGAAAGCGUGGGUAGCGAUACGG